UUGCAGGAAACUCCAUGACCUCAUCAUGGUCAACUCGUAAUUACACGUGACAAAUAAGUCCAUUUUGGUAAUUUCAAAUCACAAACAAAAUUUCUGACAUAUUUUAACCUCAUGUGCCGCCCAAUUUCCAAAUUUUAAUUAUAUUUUUCAUUAAAAAAAAAUAAAAAUAAUGAUCGCACGUACGUGUGCAUACACUUUCAAAAUUCUAUUUAUACCCUUCAAGCUCCUAACCUCACUCCCUUUUCCCACUUUCUCUAUUCUUCUUACUGCUUAAGUUUUCUCUCUUCUCUUUCUCCGGCGACGUAAUUUUAUCAAUCUCAUCAAAGCGAUUAUGGCAUCAACGGAAUCAGAUCUAGAUGAGUUUCUUAAUCUCGAUUACGAACUUCGUUAUCCAACUCUUGCUGAUACUGAAGCAUUUAUGACCGGUGUUUGCUCCGCNNNN
This 442-nucleotide long non-coding RNA is filed under the name Trifolium pratense (red clover). RNAcentral's name for it is "long non-coding RNA (TPRA_LNC005405)". The record is from RNAcentral. Lineage: Eukaryota; Viridiplantae; Streptophyta; Magnoliopsida; Fabales; Fabaceae.